This 240-nucleotide long non-coding RNA is filed under the name Homo sapiens (human). RNAcentral describes it as "non-protein coding lnc-PDE7B-8:2". The record is from RNAcentral. Lineage: Eukaryota; Metazoa; Chordata; Mammalia; Primates; Hominidae.
AGCCUUGGCCGGAGAGGCGGUAGAGUAGGAUGGAACAUCUGAACUAUUUCCGUAUUUGGGGAAAUUGAAGCUGAAGUGGUAUUUGGAGUCUCACUCUUCCCACUCCCUGAAAAUACUGGCAUUGGGAACCCAACAGUAGUAGUGGGAAGCAGGCAGCAGAGGAAACGUGACCAACAGAGAUUCCCUAACUAGAGUGCUGAUGGGGCCGGACUUUGGCUGUAGUUCCUGCUGCAUGGCCUC